UAAUUCCUGCUUAGUGCGUGAUAAGGUAAUGUAUUCGAGCUACAAUUAUUAAAAGGAGUCCAAUAUCCAAUGUUGGGAUGCAGGCCUCCUGCCCAGCCUCUCUUAAUGAGACUUUUCAGUCGGUCAGGCUACGGCAGAUGUUGGAAGCAACAAAGACAUUAUGAGGACACCACCUUGUUACAGACAAGGUUCAAAUGGUUGCCUUACACGGCUCGGUGGGAAUUUU
Molecule: non-coding RNA, 226 nt
Filed under: Clostridia bacterium
Lineage: Bacteria; Bacillati; Bacillota; Clostridia
Description: 6S RNA
Rfam family: 6S / SsrS RNA
About the family: E. coli 6S RNA was the first non coding RNA to be sequenced, but its function was unknown until recently. It consists of 184 nucleotides that fold into an extended hairpin structure with a large single-stranded internal bulge. The 6S RNA specifically associates with RNA polymerase holoenzyme containing the sigma70 specificity factor.
Source: RNAcentral